UUUUGAUAAUCGAAUAUUGUUUUAUUUUUUUGUUUUUGUUUUUAAAAAAAAUUCUUAAAAUUUGACGUUGAAAACGAUUAGAUUUGAUUUGAUGGAGAACAUUGUGUCAAUAUUAAUUAAACAUGGUGGCAAGUGAAAUUCAUCAGAGAUGCUUAUGUCAUUCCUGUUGAGCCUAUCCCAUGCGAGAGUACAUGGGAUAUACCAAGCUAUAUUUCAGAGCUUAAAAUGAUGCCACCUGGUCCAAAAAGAUCAGCGGGAAGACCCAAAUUUGAACACUGGAAGGGGUUCGCUGAUGUGAAAUUCAAGAGGACAAAAAGCACAUGCAGUAGAUGCCAUCAAGUUGGACAAAAAAGGAAUACAUGUUCAAAUUAUCCUGUACAAAAACAAUGAUUUCCUACUGUUACAUCUGUGUUUUUGAGUAUUUAAAUUGUUAGACACCUGUU
Molecule: long non-coding RNA, 443 nt
Organism: Solanum lycopersicum (tomato)
Lineage: Eukaryota; Viridiplantae; Streptophyta; Magnoliopsida; Solanales; Solanaceae
Source: RefSeq, a predicted model, not a curated record